UGCCAGCCGCCGCGGUAAUACGGAGGGGGUUAGCGUUGUUCGGAAUUACUGGGCGUAAAGCGUACGUAGGCGGAUUAAUAAGUUAGAGGUGAAAUCCCCGGGGCUCAACCCCGGAACUGUCUCCAAAACUGCCAGUCUAGAGUUCGAGAGGGGUGAGUGGAACUCCAAGUGUAGAGGUGAAAUUCGUAGAUAUUUGGAAGAACACCAGUGGCGAAGGCGGCUCACUGGCUCGAUACUGACGCUGAGGUGCGAAAGUGUGGGGAGCAAACAGGAUUAGAUA
RNAcentral lists this ribosomal RNA (280 nucleotides) under uncultured bacterium. Its description in RNAcentral is "partial 16S ribosomal RNA". It matches the Rfam family "Bacterial small subunit ribosomal RNA", at positions 506 to 784 of the family's 1533-position model. The record is from RNAcentral.